This 762-nucleotide ribosomal RNA is filed under the name uncultured organism. Its description in RNAcentral is "bacterial SSU rRNA". It matches the Rfam family "Bacterial small subunit ribosomal RNA", at positions 704 to 1496 of the family's 1533-position model. The record is from RNAcentral.
GAACACCAAAGGCGAAGGCAUUGCACUGGGCUGGUACUGACCCUGAGAGACGAAAGCGUGGGGAGCAAAACGGAUUAGAUACCCGUGUAGUCCACGCCGUAAACGAUGGAUACUAGAUGUUCGGGGAUUCGACCCCCUGGGUGUCACAGCUAACGCGUUAAGUAUCCCGCCUGGGAAGUACGGCCGCAAGGCUAAAACUCAAAGGAAUAGACGGGGAUCCGCACAAGCGGUGGAGCGUCUGGUUUAAUUUGAUAGUAAGCAAUGGACCUCACCAAGGUUUGACAUCCUAUGACAACCCUGGAAACAGGGCUUCCUUCGGGCAUAGUGACAGGUGCUGCAUGGUCGUCGUCAGUUCGUGCCGUGAGGUGUUCCGUUAAGUCGGGAAACGAACGAAACCCUCGUCGCAUGUUACAAAUUUCAUGCGAGACUGCCCGGGUCAACCGGGAGGAAGGCGGGGAUGACGUCAGAUCAGCAUGGCCCUUAUACCUUGGGCUACACAGGCGCUACAAUGGCCGGUACAAAGGGUUGCAAAACCGCGAGGUGAAGCUAAUCCCAUAAAGCCGGUCCAAGUUCGGAUUGGAGGCUGCAACUCGCCUCCAUGAAGUUGGAAUCGCUAGUAAUCGUGGAUCAGCCAUACCACGGUGAAUACGUUCCCGGAUCUUGUACUCACCGCCCGUCACACCAAGAGAGUUGGUAGCUCCUGAAGCGUCGCAUUAGCGGCACCACGGAGAGAUCAGCGAUAGGGGUGAAGUCGUAACAAGG